RNAcentral lists this ribosomal RNA (1243 nucleotides) under metagenome. RNAcentral describes it as "bacterial LSU rRNA". It matches the Rfam family "Bacterial large subunit ribosomal RNA", at positions 1564 to 2817 of the family's 2925-position model. The record is from RNAcentral.
UGAAUACGAGAUGCUACGGCGUCGAAGCAGUCUAUGUCAUACUUCCAAGAAAAGCUCGCACUGUCAUAAACAAAUAAUGCCUGUACCAUAACCGACACAGGUGGGUAGGUAGAGUAUACUAAGGGGCGCGAGAUAACUCUCUCUAAGGAACUCGGCAAAAUGACUCCGUAACUUCGGGAGAAGGAGUGCCUUAUUUAUAAGGUUGCAAUAACAAGAUCCAAGCAACUGUUUAUCAAAAACACAGGUCUCCGCUAAGUCGUAAGACGAUGUAUGGGGGCUGACGCCUGCCCAGUGCCAGAAGGUUAAAGAAGUUGGUUAGCAUUCGCGAAGCUGAUAACUGAAGCCCUGGUGAACGGCGGCCGUAACUAUAACGGUCCUAAGGUAGCGAAAUUCCUUGUCGGGUAAGUUCCGACCCGCACGAAAGGCGUAAUGAUUUGGAUACUGUCUCGGAGAGGGGCUCGGUGAAAUAGACUUGUCUGUGAAGAUGCGGACUACCUGCACCAGGACAGAAAGACCCUAUGAAGCUUUACUGUAACUUGAGAUUGAAAUUGGACUUUACUUGCGCAGUAUAGGUGGGAGGCGUUGAUAAUAUUCUUGCGGGAUUAUUUGAGCCAUCAGUGAGAUACCACUCUUGUAAUGUUAGAUUUCUAACUUUGUAUCAUUAUCUGGUCAAAGGACAGUUUCAGGCGGGCAGUUUGACUGGGGCGGUCGCCUCCUAAACGGUAACGGAGGCGCACAAAGGUUUCCUCUGAACGGGUAGAAAUCGUAUCUAGAGUGUAAAGGCAUAAGGAAGCUUGACUGUGAGACCUACAAGUCGAGCAGGGACGAAAGUCGGUCUUAGUGAUCUGACGGUGCUGAGUGGAAAGGCCGUCACUCAACGGAUAAAAGUUACUCUAGGAUAACAGGCUGAUCUCCCCCAAGAGUUCACAUCGACGGGGAGGUUUGGCACCUCGAUGUCGGCUCAUCGCAUCCUGGGGCGGUAGUACGUCCCAAGGGUUGGGCUGUUCGCCCAUGAAAGCGGUACGCGAGCUGGGUUCAGAACGUCGUGAGACAGUUCGGUCCAUAUCCGGUGUAGGCGUUAGAAUAUUGAGAGGAGCCUUCUUUAGUACUAGAGGACCGAGAAGGACAUACCUCUGGUGUACCAGUUAUCGUGCCAACGGUAAACGCUGGGUAGCUAUGUAUGGAGUGGAUAACCGCUGAAAGCAUCUAAGUGGGAAGCCCACCUCAAGAUAAGUAUUCUCAC